RNAcentral lists this transfer RNA (65 nucleotides) under Cyprinella caerulea (blue shiner). RNAcentral describes it as "tRNA-Pro". The record is from RNAcentral. Lineage: Eukaryota; Metazoa; Chordata; Actinopteri; Cypriniformes; Leuciscidae.
CAUUAAUAAUUUUGAAGCCCGGGCUUUGGGAGCCAGGGGUGGGAGUUAAAAUCUCCUUUUUUUGG